AGGACGAACGCUGGCGGCGUGCUUAACACAUGCAAGUCGAGCGGUAAGGCCUUUCGGGGUACACGAGCGGCGAACGGGUGAGUAACACGUGGGUGAUCUGCCCUGCACUCUGGGAUAAGCCUGGGAAACUGGGUCUAAUACCGGAUAUGACCUGCUCUCGCAUGGGGGUGGUGGAAAGAUUUAUCGGGUGCAGGAUGGGGCCCGCGGCCUAUCAGCUUUGGUUGGUGGGUAAUGGCCUACCAAGGCGACGACGGGUAGCCGACCUGAGAGGUGACCGGCCACACGUGGGACUGAGACACGGCCCAGACUCCUACGGGAGGCAGCAGUGGGGAAUAGUGCACAAGUGGGACGAAAGCCUAGAUGCAGCGACGCCGCGUAGA
This 380-nucleotide ribosomal RNA is filed under the name uncultured soil bacterium. Its description in RNAcentral is "bacterial SSU rRNA". It matches the Rfam family "Bacterial small subunit ribosomal RNA", at positions 26 to 405 of the family's 1533-position model. The record is from RNAcentral.